This 726-nucleotide long non-coding RNA is filed under the name Mus musculus (house mouse). RNAcentral describes it as "predicted gene, 49482". Lineage: Eukaryota; Metazoa; Chordata; Mammalia; Rodentia; Muridae. The record is from RNAcentral.
CCACCAAGACUGAAGUUUUGGUGCCCUGGCCUACCCCGUCCUCUGGCCACUCUGGUUCCGGAUGUUUGGCCUGUCCUGGUGAAUGGACUACUAGCUUUAAAUAGCUUUAAUGGAACCGGCGGAAACUCUGUGGCCCGCGUUUCAGGAUGGAGCCAUACGCGUGGCGAAACUGGCGGUUCAUGGCUGCAUAGAGCACAGGGUUGAUGCAGCUGUUGAGCCAGGUGAGGUUGGCAGCCACCAUGUGCACUACUCGUGGAGCACGGCCCCUGGCGUCCAGAAUGUUGAGCAACAGGAAGGGGAUGUAGCUGAGGGCGAAGCAGAGGAACACUGCGAAGCACAUACGGGUCACCUUCCCGAACUCUGAUGGGGCAUCUGUGGCUCUGCGAGCUCCUGCAGUUUCCCGGGGCUUGCGAUGCACUUCUGGAAGGCUUCUCUCUGCGAUCUGUUGAGCUGCCUUUCUAAUGCCCUGGCCCCCAGCUUCUGACGAAUCACCUUCCAGGGUCUGCGUGGUCGCAGCACUGACUGGCUCAGAUGAAAUCCCCUCGCUGGGCCCUCUUGAGGCAACCCCGCUGUCUAGCUCCUGGAAGUGGCCAGGCAUGGCUUCUUGUGUCCCAGCCACCUGAUGAGAGCGGAUGCUGGCCUGAUGCAGCCCGUAUUGGUCCAGUGCUCGAGCCGCACGCUUCACUUGCCGGUGGAUGAGGCAGUAGAAGACGCCCACGCUGCUGA